GGGGAAGGCCUGGGGUCGGCGAGUGAGCGCCCGGGAUCUGCCCGCCCCACCCCCACUCCACACACCUGCCAUAAACCCCAGAAACGCACCGUCUGAUCUCACAGCAGCCCUGGAGGUGAGGAAAAGCGAGGGCGGGGGGCUGGUAACUCGCCAGCCGCACAGUUGUAAGCGGCAGGGCCGGGCAUCCCGGCUCACUCGCUCGGCUUGGUACAAAAGAGCAUCACAGCCAGUCGCCCCCAAUGGUGUUGCUGUGACGCUCAUGGAUCGCGUACGUCUCACCCCCCCGCGGACCACAGGCUCCCUCACAGCCCUGCUUUACAGAGGAGGAAACGGAGGCCCAGGGGUGUCCGCAGGUGGCGGGAAGCCUCCGAGGGCAGGUGGGACGGCAGCUGCCUUUCUUGGAGGAGGGGGAGAGUGGCCGUGUGGGGGCUGGGGCGCCGGGGGCAGGGGGCAGGACAGCGGGCUGGACGCUCAGCUUCAGCUGGGUCGAUAUGACAGACGGAGCGCGCCUCCUGGCUCCAGACAUCGGGAUGGCCCCGCUGGGCCGUGUCCCCUCCAGGCUCAGCCGCAAGCUGACGAGGCUUCCGGGCCGGCAGCAUCUUCCCCUUUCGACACCGUGGGCCACGCGGAGGAGGAGGCCGCCAGAGAGGGGACAGCAUGGAGGUAGGAAAAGCGACACCAGGAGACGCGCUGGGCCCCCUGUUCCACAAGAUGCUGGGUGGCAUUCAGGAAGAAACCAGAAACGCAAGUUCCUCAAAGUUAAAAAGAGUCAGCCCUGCAGGCCUUAUCAGCACUUCUUACCAGAAAAUGAGAAAUGCUGAGUUCCUCAAAGUUAAAAAGGAUCAGCCCCGCAGGCCUCGUCAGCACUUCUCAAGGCAGAGGGCGUCGGGCCUUCCCGGGAGAGCCUGACCCCAAAGCAGCCCUGAGCGCUCACCUUUGUGCCCCAGCACAAGCCUCUGAGGGGCACGGCCCUUAGAGCAGAUGCUGGCGAGGCUCCCCAGACACCCCGGCCACCAGGCCCGACGUUCACCCAGAGGGACUUGUCUUUCCAGCUGAAACACGAGUGCGCACACGGGCGAGUUAAGGGCAGGUGUUCCUGGCAGGACCGGGGAGACGUGGGGGCCGGUCUUCCCCCAUUCGAGGUGGAAGCAGAGGCCUGUGGGGGUGUACCUGUGUGAGGUCCCUGCACCCCGUGGGGGGACCAUCUCAGUUUCAGGAAUUUGCUGCCAAUCCUCUCAGAACUUCACCCUCUGGUCAGGAUUAUCCCGAGCGAGGGCCCAGCGCGAGUCCGGUGGAGGGCUGAGGCCGGCUUCCAGGCCUCUUGGGCGCCUGCCCUGAUCUGAAGGUGGGAGGGUAUAACUUAGAAAGAGGCGUGUUUCAGCUUCAGGAGCAAAGGGACGGCCACAAACUCUCGCUGUUUUUUGAUGGAGGUCACCGAGCAUCCCCUGUGCACCUGUUGUCUUAUAACUUGCUCCCAGCGAUUCCAGGAGGUUUUGAGGGCCCUGAUUGACAGGGGCCAGCGCCCUGAGGGAGAGGAGGGAACUGCUUUAGCAGGAGGCAGGGCCUGUCUCCAGAGCCCCUCUUCUGAAGUCCAUUGCUCUUUGGCGCGUCUCUGCCUGGUCUGGACCCCUGCAGUGUGGGAGCCGGGAGCUUGUCAGGAAUGCGUCUGCGGUCAGCUGGGUUCACAGCUGUCAGGAGCCUCUGUGGCCACAGCACAAUCUAGAUGCCCCUACCUGCUCAGCCCCGAGGUACCCUCUGCGCCCUCACUGCCCCCCAGGGCGCUGUUCUAGAACAGUGCUGCCCAGCGAGCAGAACCUUCUACGACAGUGACUGUGGCCGAAGCCUUCUCUGGGGCACCAGCCAGGGGGCUUUCGAAUCCUUGGAAUUUGGCUCUGCGACAGGAACAGAUGUUUCCUUUUACUUAAUUUGAAUGAAAACAUAAAAACCAACACUUGCCUCACUUAUCGGGAAACUUGAAAGUUUGCAACAACUUGGGUGCGUGGAUCUAUGUUUUCCACUUUAAAUUUCAUGAAAUCCACACACAGGCCAAGGUACUUCCGAGGAAAAUGCAGCAUCCAAAUUGCAAUACGCUGGGAGCAACCCCCCCCCCCCGGAUUUAACUGCAAUACACUGCGAGCGCAAAAUAGCCCCUGGAGUUUGAAAACUUGCUAUGGCAGAGAAUGGAAGCUGUCACAGCCUGCUGGAAUCACGUCUGGGUGCUCCCGGCCCCGCCCCCACAGGGUGGAGCAGAGGAAGAUUUCGGGGAAGGAAGACCCACCUGAGGAUCUGGCGACCUCAGGGGCGGGACUUCUGGGGGGCAGCGAAGCCUCAGUUUUGAACACCCCCCUGUGGGAUAGUCCCCUGCAGGGAGGGUAUCCUAGGUACCCACGGUCUCAGAGCUGGGAUUCUGCACAUGGGGAUUUGAAAGCCAUGCUUUCCUCCAGAAGCGGGAAGAGAGGGAGACGCUCCCCGUGAGGCCACCGAGCAGAGGUGAAGACCUGGUGCACACUCUGUGCCAUGGACCUUGGGUAGCGAGGACGCGCAGGCAAGACGCGCCCAGGAGCACCCGCUGCAGCAGCUGCUUCCAUUCGAAGUGGCAUCGUGAUGACGGGGACAGCUGUGCUAGGAAGCGGACCUGUCCAGGGUGUGCUUGAAUGGCCAGGGGCCAUUUCAAGUGCUUUAUGUUGUCAUCAGGCUCACUCUGCCGUCGAGGAACUGAGGCGGGGCGGGGGGAGGGCAUCACCUGCUCAGGAUAUACCUGUAGCAGGUGCAUCCAUGAGGAUGCAGGUUCGAUCCCUGGCCUCGCUCACUGGGUUAAGGAUCCAGCAUUGCCGUGAGCUGUGGUGUAGGUCGCAGACGCGGCGCGGAUCCCGCGUUGCUGUGGCUGUGGUGUAGACCGGUAGCUGUAGCUCUGAUUCAACCCCUAUCCUGGGAACCUCCAUAUGCUGUGGGUGUGGCCCUAAAAGACAAAAAG
RNAcentral lists this long non-coding RNA (2974 nucleotides) under Sus scrofa (pig). RNAcentral describes it as "lncRNA (ENSSSCG00065056353.1)". Lineage: Eukaryota; Metazoa; Chordata; Mammalia; Artiodactyla; Suidae. The record is from RNAcentral.